Molecule: ribosomal RNA, 238 nt
Filed under: Klebsiella aerogenes
Lineage: Bacteria; Pseudomonadati; Pseudomonadota; Gammaproteobacteria; Enterobacterales; Enterobacteriaceae
Also listed under: 1 other name
Description: partial 23S ribosomal RNA
Rfam family: Bacterial large subunit ribosomal RNA
Source: RNAcentral
GGGUUGUGAGGUUAAGCGACUAAGCGUACACGGUGGAUGCCCUGGCAGUCAGAGGCGAUGAAGGACGUGCUAAUCUGCGAAAAGCGUCGGUAAGGUGAUAUGAACCGUUACAGCCGGCGAUGUCCGAAUGGGGAAACCCAGUGUGAUUCGUCACACUAUCGUUAACUGAAUACAUAGGUUAACGAGGCGAACCGGGGGAACUGAAACAUCUAAGUACCCCGAGGAAAAGAAAUCAACC